CACUGCAUCCAUCUUGGAUAAUUUUUUUUUCAAGAAUACUAUAUGACGGCUCACAAUCAUAUUAUGAUCCUUAGGAAGAUAGAAGUAGUAUCCCAUAAUUUUCGUAGGAUACCCUAUAAAAUGAGUCCUAAAUGAUCUAGCCUCUAACUUGUCUGCCUACUGUCACUUGACAUGGAUCGGACAUCCUUAAAUCUUAAGA
Molecule: long non-coding RNA, 199 nt
Filed under: Elaeis guineensis (African oil palm)
Lineage: Eukaryota; Viridiplantae; Streptophyta; Magnoliopsida; Arecales; Arecaceae
Description: long non-coding RNA (EGUI_LNC060765)
Source: RNAcentral